RNAcentral lists this long non-coding RNA (1023 nucleotides) under Homo sapiens (human). RNAcentral's name for it is "non-protein coding lnc-SOCS5-4:6". The record is from RNAcentral. Lineage: Eukaryota; Metazoa; Chordata; Mammalia; Primates; Hominidae.
ACGCCAGCAGGUGAGGAGGCUGGGGCCAGAUGACAGCUAGUGAGGGAGCAGAGACAAGACAAGGCGAGCCUGUGACAGAGCGAGACCCUGUCUCAAAAAACAAAAACAAGACAUGUGAGCUUGGACUCCAGUGUGGAAUCCCAUGUCCGCUCAGUGCACCUUUCUGCCGCUGAAAGUACAAGAGGAGAGGGGAAACCCACAGGUGGAGCUGACCAUGAGGACUGUCACAGCUUUGAGAGGCAAAUCCAGAAAUCAGCCCUCCAGCUUCCUCUACCAAGAAGACUGGCGGUUACAACCCUGGCUCUGUGGGGCUUCUCUUGCCCUCUCUUCUGACUGCCCUACUUGGCUCCAGGUGAGGGUGAGAGGAAGCUGGAGAUGGAAGAUGCAGCUGGGGGAACUCACCAGGCAGGUCUCAGGGAACUCUUUGAAUAAGAGGACACCAGAUCAUGCCUGCAGUUCCAGCCCAGGAGCAACUAGCACCAGCCUCAGCAUGGAGCAGGACUUCAGUUCCAGCAGCGAGGACUGAGAUCAGACACAAGAGAAAGCUCCCUGAUGAGGAGGGGUGAUUCUAAAACGAAGGGCGGAAAUUAUCUGGGGAAUUUCCUUCCCGUGAAGCCUCAGGAACAUGCCAGUCCCCCACUUCGGUCUGUCCUGGGGGGUCUCACGCCCCUGUCCUCCUAGAGAAAUCUAGAUCCUCCAAACUCUGCCUGGGUUCUUCCUGGGGAGUCUUGACCCCUGCCUUGUGGUUGAUGUGGGAUAGGGGACCCGGGAACAGGGCUGCCUUCCUCUGGCCAAGGCCUGGCAAGCAAGUGUGGGAUGGGUGCUGUCUUCCUGAGAGGGACAAUAGAAGUGACAGAGCCCCCUAAUUCAAGACCCUGCAGAGGUGGUGUGAGAUCUUAUAAUAUCAGUCUCUAAGCCAGUGCCUCUCAAGCUCUCUUUGGUGAAGAAUCAAUUUUUAAAAUAUAUAAUCAGUCACAGAUCAAUGCUUUUGUAAAAUGCAAUAAAAGUUAAUUUCCAAAAAAA